RNAcentral lists this transfer RNA (74 nucleotides) under Shigella sonnei. RNAcentral's name for it is "tRNA-Val(tac)". It matches the Rfam family "tRNA". From Rfam's summary of the family: Transfer RNA (tRNA) molecules are approximately 80 nucleotides in length. Their secondary structure includes four short double-helical elements and three loops (D, anti-codon, and T loops). Further hydrogen bonds mediate the characteristic L-shaped molecular structure. tRNAs have two regions of fundamental functional importance: the anti-codon, which is responsible for specific mRNA codon recognition, and the 3' end, to which the tRNAs corresponding amino acid is attached (by aminoacyl-tRNA synthetases). tRNAs cope with the degeneracy of the genetic code in two manners: having more than one tRNA (with a specific anti-codon) for a particular amino acid; and 'wobble' base-pairing, i.e. permitting non-standard base-pairing at the 3rd anti-codon position. The record is from RNAcentral. Lineage: Bacteria; Pseudomonadati; Pseudomonadota; Gammaproteobacteria; Enterobacterales; Enterobacteriaceae.
GGGUGAUUAGCUCAGCUGGGAGAGCACCUCCCUUACAAGGAGGGGGUCGGCGGUUCGAUCCCGUCAUCAAUCCC